RNAcentral lists this long non-coding RNA (1009 nucleotides) under Marmota monax (woodchuck). The record is from RNAcentral. Lineage: Eukaryota; Metazoa; Chordata; Mammalia; Rodentia; Sciuridae.
AUGAAUUCUCAGUGAGGAUGAGCAAAGCUGGAGGUUUCACCUUACACGUGGCAAUGAUUUUUUCCAAAAUUUGAAGAAUUAACCAUUUAUUUUUAAACUUUUUAUUGCCAGCUUUUUUUUCCCCCCUUGGAGAGAAAUUGAGAAGAAAAUGUAAAUUGGCCUGGUGGAGUUAAGAAAUUGUAACUGGAGAAGGAGUAUGUGGGUUAAUUUAUUCUGACUUCCUGCCCAGGCUCAGAAAGCCCUCUCACAGCAUCUCUGGCCAGUCAUUUGUCCUUUUCCUAGGGACAGGAGCUAAUGGUCACUAUUAGGUACAUCACUCAAAGCAGUGUUGUCUGACAUUUUCUUCCCUGUAACUUCUGCCCUAGUUAAGUAAUGACUAGCCAGAUUAUGAAGACAUUGGUCAUGAUACCCUAAGUCUUCUUAGCAUUAACUGAGUAUCUUUAGUUUUUUAUUUCGAAUAUUUGACACAUCUCAUUGUGUCUUAUAUUAUACCUUUGGAAGUGCCCCAUUUUGAUAAUGAUGCAUUCAGAAACCUGUGGUACUUGGGAUGGACAUAGUGUUCCAGCUCUCCAUCUAGUAUGUGAUGUCUUGUACACUUGCUUGACAGAUUACAGAUUCUGGAUCAGUCCAAGAAAAUAGGUAACAGGCUGAGCCAUCAGGUUAGUGAGUGGUAUAGCAUCAAGGGCUGGGAGGGGCUCCCUCAUUGGAACAUUGACAGAUCAAUUAUCUUGAACCAAUCUGCUUAUCUCUUUGGACUCAGUUUUCUUCUCUGCAAAAGGAAGGAAUGGACCAGUCUGAGCCCGUUCAUUUCUCAAGUGUUCAGUGCAUUCAAAAGGUUUUUGAAACCUCUAGUACAGGAUUUCAUUAGAAGGCAAUUAAUAUUUACAGAGCACCUGGUUUCACUCACAGGCUAACCCUAGACAGUGUUUUAGGUCUUCACUGGUUUCUUAGUUUUUGGUAUUUUUCCACAUUCAAAAAGAUGCUGUUUGGAGGGAAUGAAAACAAUAUC